This is a long non-coding RNA of Musca domestica (house fly), 655 nucleotides long. RefSeq lists it as uncharacterized. Lineage: Eukaryota; Metazoa; Arthropoda; Insecta; Diptera; Muscidae. The transcript has 4 exons. The record is from RefSeq and is a predicted model, not a curated record.
UCAACCAAGCAUAAUUUAUCGUACUUGACAUUAAUAUAGUGGGUGGCAAUUCUUGACAUCAUUAAAAUGAAUAGUAACAUUCAAAAUAUAAUUCAAUCAGCUAGAAUUUUACAGAGGAAAUUUAAUUAAUAUCUGACAUUGUAAAUUGGUCAAAUUUUCUUGGAGUUGAAGUUAAUGUGUCAAAGAAAUGAAGACGUCUUGAAAGAGUAAACCAAGCCCCAGGAAAAAGUUGGAAUUGGGAAAAAUAUCAUUUAAGUUUUCCAUACCUAAAUUGAAAGCAACUUUUGUCAGUACGGAUUAAAAUUCAAUAUUGAAAUGUCGAAUGCAGCUUUCGAGUAGUAGUAUGUCAUUUCCGCACAGAGGAAGAUUUUGGAGACCAAAGACGUCUCGUUUUUAUCUGUCGAAGAACCUAUUUCUUCCUCAGCAUCUUAAAACUCGGUUUAGACGUUGCUACGUCCACCAUUCACUGUUGACAAUCGUAUGGGAAUUUUGAGAGCAACAAUACUUGAGACUCAAACAUCUUUACAUAUGCAAAGUAGAUGACAUACUUGAAAAACUUGUUAUAAUUCUAAAAAAUUGAAAUAUUUUCUUGAAAUUGUUGUUUCUUUAAUUUCUGUGAAUAUAUUGAAUAUAAUGAUUUUUAUAAUUGAAAUAA